AAAGCAAGUCGAACGAUGAUCCGGUGCUUGCACCGGGGAUUAGUGGCGAACGGGUGAGUAACACGUGAGUAACCUGCCCUUAACUCUGGGAUAAGCCUGGGAAACUGGGUCUAAUACCGGAUAUGACUGAUCAUCGCAUGGUGGUUGGUGGAAAGCUUUUUGUGGUUUUGGAUGGACUCGCGGCCUAUCAGCUUGUUGGUGAGGUAAUGGCUUACCAAGGCGACGACGGGUAGCCGGCCUGAGAGGGUGACCGGCCACACUGGGACUGAGACACGGCCCAGACUCCUACGGGAGGCAGCAGUGGGGAAUAUUGCACAAUGGGCGAAAGCCUGAUGCAGCGACGCCGCGUGAGGGAUGACGGCCUUCGGGUUGUAAACCUCUUUCAGUAGGGAAGAAGCGAAAGUGACGGUACCUGCAGAAGAAGCGCCGGCUAACUACGUGCCAGCAGCCGCGGUAAUACGUAGGGCGCAAGCGUUAUCCGGAAUUAUUGGGCGUAAAGAGCUCGUAGGCGGUUUGUCGCGUCUGCCGUGAAAGUCCGGGGCUCAACUCCGGAUCUGCGGUGGGUACGGGCAGACUAGAGUGAUGUAGGGGAGACUGGAAUUCCUGGUGUAGCGGUGAAAUGCGCAGAUAUCAGGAGGAACACCGAUGGCGAAGGCAGGUCUCUGGGCAUUAACUGACGCUGAGGAGCGAAAGCAUGGGGAGCGAACAGGAUUAGAUACCCUGGUAGUCCAUGCCGUAAACGUUGGGCACUAGGUGUGGGGGACAUUCCACGUUUUCCGCGCCGUAGCUAACGCAUUAAGUGCCCCGCCUGGGGAGUACGGCCGCAAGGCUAAAACUCAAAGGAAUGAGGGGGGGGCCCGCACAAGCGGCGGAGCAUGCGGAUUAAUUCGAUGCAACGCGAAGAACCUUACCAGGCUUGACAUGAACCGGAAAGACCUGGAACAGUGCCCCGCUUGCGUCGGUUU
RNAcentral lists this ribosomal RNA (965 nucleotides) under Pseudarthrobacter sp. RNAcentral describes it as "bacterial SSU rRNA". It matches the Rfam family "Bacterial small subunit ribosomal RNA", at positions 54 to 1033 of the family's 1533-position model. Lineage: Bacteria; Bacillati; Actinomycetota; Actinomycetes; Micrococcales; Micrococcaceae. The record is from RNAcentral.